GAUGAACGCUGGCGGCGUGCCUAAUACAUGCAAGUCGAGCGAACAGACGAGGAGCUUGCUCCUCUGACGUUAGCGGCGGACGGGUGAGUAACACGUGGAUAACCUACCUAUAAGACUGGGAUAACUUCGGGAAACCGGAGCUAAUACCGGAUAAUAUAUUGAACCGCAUGGUUCAAUAGUGAAAGACGGUUUUGCUGUCACUUAUAGAUGGAUCCGCGCCGCAUUAGCUAGUUGGUAAGGUAACGGCUUACCAAGGCAACGAUGCGUAGCCGACCUGAGAGGGGUGGCGGCCACCUGGGAAAGGAACACGCGCCCCGGCCCCGACGGGGGGACGCGGUGGGGAUGUUUCCGAAAGGGGCGAAAGCCUGAAGGAGCAACGGCGGGGGAGUGAAGAAGGUUUUCGGAUCGUAAAACUUUUUUAUGGGGGAAAAAAAAAUGUGUAAGUAACUAUGCGCGUCUGGAGGGUACCUAACAAGAAGGCCCGGCCAAACUACGG
Molecule: ribosomal RNA, 496 nt
Filed under: uncultured bacterium
Lineage: Bacteria
Description: partial 16S ribosomal RNA
Rfam family: Bacterial small subunit ribosomal RNA
Source: RNAcentral